Gopherus flavomarginatus (Mexican gopher tortoise) is the source of this 9333-nucleotide long non-coding RNA. RefSeq lists it as uncharacterized. The record is from RefSeq and is a predicted model, not a curated record. Lineage: Eukaryota; Metazoa; Chordata; Testudines; Testudinidae. The transcript has 2 exons.
AUGAAGCUGAUGGCAGUAGUACUGUUCCAUGUUAAAGCACUGCAGUCUUGCAGAACAUUGGUGAAUGCAUAGCGUGGAGAAGUGCAAACAUAAGUUCAACAGACACUAGAAGUUAACUCCAUAUCAUUUUAGGGGAGUAAAAUGACCUCCAUGCAUCCUGUCUUUCUUUUAUUCCGAGUUCUGGCUUCAGAUGCCCCUUUGUUCUAAUGUAACUAUAACUCAGGGGUCAGCAACCUACGGCACACGUGCUAAAGGUGGCACGCGAGCCAAUUUUUGAUGGCACGCGGGGUGGGCUGAGCCGCUCAGUCCACUGCCAUUCUGGGGUUCCUGCUGCUGGCCCCUUGACAGCCGGGGUCCCACCGCUGGUCCCACUCAGCACCUGCUGCUGGCUUUGGGGAAGGAACCCCAGGCUGGCAGUGGGCUGAGACCCCGGCUGGCAGGAGCCAGCGGCUGAAACCACAGAGUAGGGGCAGGCGGAGAUGCUCAGCCCACCCCCGAAACCCCAGAGCUGGGUGGGCUGACCCGCUCAGCCCACUGCCACUCUGGGGUUCCGGCUGCUGGCCCCUUGCCAGCUGGGGUCCCUGCCGCAGCCCCACUCACCUUGCUUCUGGUUGGAGUUUCAGCGCAGGCCCCCUGCCAGACAGGGUCUAGGCCUCUGGCCCUACUCAGCCCUACCAGCCGCCAGCUUCACUCACCUCAACUGCCUGUCUGGGGUUCCAGCCACUUAACAACUGAUCACUCAGAAGCCUGUGUGCAGCUUAAAGUAUCCAAGUACGUGCCACCAGCCAUUGGAAAACUCAGCAAGGAAAAGCAAGGGCAAGGAUCACACUAAACUAAUAAGAUCUGCCUUUUAAUUUAAUUUUAAAUGAAGCUUCUGAAACAUAUGAAAACCUUGUUUACUUUACAUAUAACAGUAGUUUGGUUAUAUAUUAUAGACUUGUAGAGAGACCUUCUAAAAAACAUUAAAAUGUUUUACCGGCAUGCGAAGCCUUAAAUUAGAGUGUAUACAUGAAGUCUCGGCACGCCACUGCUGAAAGGUUACCGACCCCUGCUAUAAAUAUUACUGUUUUCUAAUGAUUCUCCUGUUUUAUGUCCCUUUCUAUUUUUGAGUGCUCUGGAAGCUUCUGGAAGCUUCAUCUAAUGUUGUUGUGUACAGUGCUUAGGGUAACACAGUGGUGCUCCGAUCCCUGACUGGGACCUCCUAGGCACUACCUCACAGUACAAAAGUUAUGGAAAUAAAAGUAUUAAAUAAGAAUGAUACCAGUAGAAAUACCAAUAAUAAAUGUAAUAAUACUAAUAGUGAAAACAGAAAAAAUGGAACUUAGGGUCCUCUGUGCCAUAAUAUUUUGACAUAAUAUAAUAGGUGCUGCCACCUGCUAUUCAUGCAUUGUGAGCAACUAACUCAACAGUUCCAGUCAGGUAUCUCUGAUACAAUUAACUGGUAAAUAUUCUUGUUCUAAUUGCUAGCACUGUUUCUGUGGCCUCUACUAUCAGAGCCAGACUUGGGAAAUGUAAUCACUACAUAUGUCCAUAUUUUGUUGUUUUCUGACACUUUUCUACAUUUUAAAACAUUUACUGUGCAUCUCAGCUACUUCAAACUAGCAGUGUGCGCUGCUGUACACACAUGCUAAUAAUCCCUCUUACAAACAAAUCACAUUCCUUGCUUAUAAUAUCCUUCCCAGAUAGAGUUUAACAUUAUCCAUUUUAUUAUUAUGAAAUAAGUAUGAUUUUAGGCUUGUAAAUAUUUUCUUGGAUUUUAUGACCACUUUUAGAGCCACGCAACAGAAAUAUUCAGUGAAUUUCUGUGACUCCUGGCCUGAAUCUUUUUUACAAACUGACUAAUUUUAUCCUUUUGGAUAGUCAAAUGAAGGAAUACAAUCCUUGGGAUUAUAAUCGUGUUUAAAAAUAUUUAAUAUUACCUUUAAUUCUAAUGUCUAGACAGUACUGCUGCACACUGCUGAAAUAUCUGUUACAAAGCCACAAAUGAAUAAUUUGACUGCUUUUUGGGUGAGAUGUGCAUAAAAGAUAUUAAGUGGCAUUUGGACAUUUCUGCAAAAAAAACCCAAAAUACUGUAUCUGCAAGGAGCAUUGAUUGAAGUCUCAUACUAGUAGAGAAGGAAUGAGAAAAAACACAAUAUUUUACACAGGUCUACACUUUGUGCAGGCAUAUGGAGAAGAAGAGCAACAACUGUCAAAGGUCCAUGAUAAACCAGAGGGUACAGAGCAAAUGCUAUCCAGGACUAUCUUACUAACAUUAAUUGAUUAAAUUUAGCUAUCUCAACCUUCUGAUUAUAAGACCAUAAGAGAGUGUACUUACUCAUUGCAUACCAUUGUUAUUGAUAGCAAACAACUACUCCGUCUUCACACAUGCACACACUUUUGUUAGGAGCAGACGUAGUUUAGGAAUAUCCAAACAUAUGAGAUUCUCAUUCAUUUAGAUUAUCACAUAAAUAGUCCAAUAGUUGGUUCAAUAAGAUAUUACCUCACCCACCUUAUAUCUCUAAUAUCCUGGGACCAACACAGCUACACCACUGCAUACAUAAGUACUCACAGAUAUGUAAAUAUCUACCAUUGGGUUUGGUUCUUGGCUAUGUGCAUUAUUUGUCAUGCCAGCUGAGGUACAAGAAGGAAUAUCAUCAGUCUCCUCUUACUCUUUGUUUCCCAGGUAACUAAUCAUUGAUAUUUAAUGGUUCUUUUAAAAGAGGAAUGUCAUCUUGGACCUCUCUAUAACGGCUUCCUAUGACGUGCUUGUGAAUGUUACCUUAACAGUGAGUGAAGUGUUUGAGACACUGGAUCAUUUUCAGAAUGAUAGAUUCUUUAGCUAGAACAGUAAGCAAUUUAAUAAGCAUGGGAGAACCACAGCAAAUGUUAAUUCAUCAGAUUGAUAAGUAUAUUUACUUUUCAGUCACUGAAAAUCAACUAAAAGAAAAGAGAAGUUUCUAUGCCCUGGCUCAAUCAAAUAGCUAUCAGAUGUGCACAUAAAUGAAUGGUAGCAUGAGCGUCUUCAUUUAGUGAGGUCUAUGGUAAUAGUAAAGAAUAUAACAUCAUUUAUAUAUAUGCUUUCUCUGAUCCAGCCAGGAUUAUUGUAUUUAGCAUGUCCAGGUAAUAUAGGACCUUACCACACACAUUUAUUUUGCAAAUACCCAGCUAAACCAGCUACUCUGAACUUCUUGAUCCAGCAGAGUUGAUUGGUAACAGCAGAUAGUCCUUAACUUCCAGUCUGACAUAUACUUCUCUCUUUUUCCCUAUUUCCCUGUAAGUAUGUUGAAGAAAUGAAACAUGCACAACAUUAAAUGAUUCACAGGCAGCAGCAUUAGUAUUGUGCAGAUAUAACUGUAGUGCUUGUAAAGAUCUGGUGAACCUGUGAUUUGAAGCAAAGACAGCAAAUAUGAAGUACAAGCUGUUUUGUCACACAAAGUAGAAACCCCUGAGGGAAGAAAUAGCAGAAUAGCUACAGAAUAGCAGAUCAACAAUAAGUCAAAAGACUAUAAUAGAAUUAUGCAACAAAAAAAUGUUGUAAGGGAAGAAAAGCAUGAGAUUCACUAAAGAAGGAAUGUUUAGAUCUGUAUUUCAUGUUUUUCAAACUGUGAAUAAGGUAGAAUGAGUAAAAUGCUGAGUCUGACUAUCACAAUACUCCCCUGUAUGAAGAGGUAUACAUGAUGAAAGACAUCCUUUAGUUUUGGAGUCUGAAGAAUCUUUGAAAAGCUGGGUUAUUCUUCCAUAUGUCAAAUAAGGUUUUGAUAAUUUGUUCCAUUUUGUUAUGCAUUGCUAGCUUUUUUCCAUUUUAGGUUUCAUAUGCCUGGUUUCACUGUGCCAUUCUGUUAUCUUUUUAUUGACUUUUUAUUCUACUUUUUCUUCCAGGUCUAUUCUGUCUAACUUAAAAUGCAGAAUUUUCACCAGAAUUCCUUUUUUCAUUAAUUAAUUGCAAGUAUUUAGAGUGUGUGCAGUAAUAAGACUUCUCAUGUAUAGCUGUUUUUCAUAGUAUACAUAAGAACUGAGCUGUGCUUAGUAGUGAGAAAAACAUUUCUAUUAUUUCCUCUCACUUUCUAUAAGCUGUAAUAGUGUAUCUUUCAUUAGCUGUUGUAGUUGGAUGUUCAUGCUGUUCGAAUUUGGUUAGCAGAAGUUUAAUGAGCAGAGUGAUUUUCCCCAAGUAGAAUGGAUGAUACAUUCUGGGCAAAUUGCCUAUGCAAAGCAUAUCUUUGUGCUGUCCCUAAUUACUGACUGCAACCCUACAUUAAGAUUCUUAAUUUAACCUUCCCCAGCCUGGCACUCAAGUUGUUCCACUUCUUGUUGCUGUAAUUUCUUAGCCUUACAGCUGUGCAGUUAUGAAUUUUUAAAGCUCCAUUCCCCAAUAUCUUGUUCAGAACUCUUCAUAAAAAGAUGAACAGUUGUUUCACCUACAAUGCUAGCUUUCUAUUUUGGUAUUUUUUUUCUUACAAGUAAUUCGUUACAACAUUUAGUCAUAUGUAAACUGUGAAGUAAAUGGAGGUUUUCAGUAAAACAGCGUUAGUCUUGUAUUUAAUUGUUGGCUUUUGACAAAAAUGUAAAUAUGCUAUAGUCAUUUGUACCUGUAUAAAUGAAUAGAAAUCAGGGAUUCUGAUAAAUUUGGUUUUAAAAUGUAACUUCUACUGGCUGUUGGAUUUAAGGAAAUUGUUCCUUGUGUUCAUAUGAUAGCAAGAUGCCUUUCCCAUGAAUGAAAUGCAGCUAUGUGUUGAUAAACUGUAUUUAAAUGAAAACUUGUCUCUAUAGCCAGUUUGUAAUGAUUCUAAUCAUUAACCCAGCCAUCUAAGAGUAGGGAAACUGUCUCCUGUCAAUAUAGUUAUUAGGGAAAGAGUGGUUGAUUGGGAAAAUAACCUCUACUGUCAACAUGGGUGAGCUUUUCUUUAGUGAUUCCCUAGCCUUCUGUUGAACGCCCCAUUGAAAUUUCUCUGUUCCUCUUACAAUCAUUUGUUUGUAUUAUAGAAUCCUGCAUCUAUAUGGUAGGUCAAGUUCAGACUUUGGGCUUGUCUCCACCUACCAGGGGAUCGACGCACAGUGAUCAAUCCAUCGGGGGUCGAUUUACUGGAUCUCAUGAAGACCCACUAAAUCGACCACUGAUUGCUCUCUCGUUGACUCCGGUACUCCACCGGAAUGAGAGGCAUAAGGUAAGUUAACAGGAGACUCAGCUCAAUGUAGGCACCACAGUAAGUCGACCUAAGGUACGUUGACUUGAGCUCCAUUAUUCACAGAGCUGGAGUUGCGUAACUUAUGUCGCCGCAGCCCUGUAGUGUAGACCUGCCUUUUUCAUAAGUAAGUACAACCAAGACUGAAUUUGGCCCUGAAUCUUUUCUGCAAGAUGUUUCGCAGCACUAGGUUCAAAUUAGAUAUUACAAUGUUUGACUUCACACAUUGAACAUCAUGAUUCUACACAGUAACUAAGAAUGUUACUUCAGUUAUAAUUCAACCUUGGGAUGAAAUGAAAAUGUCAGUGUAUUGUACCAGCAAGCCAUUUAUCAGCAAAAGCAACCUCUACUAAAUCUCAGUUUUUACUAUAAUAAAAAAAAUCUGGUUAAAAAACCCUAAGCUUUAAAAGCCAUUCAUCCUGAUUAAGUUUAAUAUAGUUGACACGAGAUUUGAAAGAGUUAGCUUGUUGACGAUGUACACUUAGAAUGUAAAAGUAGCUGAUAUUUCAUAGAUAAUGAAAUAAUAAGAAAUUAUUAAAUGAAACCUAAGAUACUGGAUGCACGUCCCAAGGAAUGGAGUGGAAACUGGCCAAAAAUUGUUAAAACUAAUGAAAACAAGCAUCAAAUACACAAUUGUUUUGUUGCAGAAAAUAGCCAGACCCUCAAAAAUUGUUCACAUGUUCAAAACUGCAUCUGAACCAAUACUGUUAACAUGUCUACUUGUAUCACAUCAUGGGAAAGCACUAAUAAGAGUGACAUCACCAUUGUCCGUCCUUUGGGCUAUAUCAUUUAUUUAUUUAUUUAUUUAUUUCCUCUCACUAAUUUUCCAGCAAGUGAACAGUAAUUAUCACAGACACAGCACAUAGUAAGCAAUCUUUAUUAGCCAGAAUCAAGUAUUCAAGUUUUGUGUUUUUGAGAUUGCCUUUUUGGUCACGGAUGUGUUGCCAAAAACAAAUAUGUCCUGGCUGACUAAAUUGGAUUCUUCUUUUAAAAAAAAGAAAAACAUUCUAAUAAAAGAGGUAGGAGGAACAGGAUAGGAUAGAAAAUUAAUAUACUUCAGAGGAAUACAAUAAAUUUUAGAUGUACAUCCCAGGAGUUGUUGAGGACACAGCUAUGGAAAAUGUGGUAUUAUUGGGCUCCUUCUCCUCGUUUAGUCUGGUCAGAACAAUUUUCAAGAUGUGGAAAAUAGAAUCCUGAUGGUAUGAUGGUAAAUCUGUCAAUCUAAGAUCUAUAUGGGCCCCAUCACCAUAGUAUCUGAGUGCUUCACAGUCUUUUCAUGUGUUCAGCCUUGUGCAUCCCCUGUCAUGUAGGGAAGUACUUUUAUCCCCAUUUUGCAGAUGGGGAGCUGAGGCACAAAGUAUUGUCCUGGGUGGUCACACAGGAAGUCUCCUAGAGCAGGGAAUUGAACUCUGGUUUCUCAAGUCCUAGGCUAGUGUCCUAACCACUGGAUGAGAUUUGAUCUCAGGUCCCAGUCGGCAACCAGCAUGAGAGUUGUAAUAGCUAAUGUUCCCUGUAUGUAUAGGCUCACUGCCUUGCAUUUUUAUUAUCCUCAUGCAUAAGCUAGUUCUCAAGUGCUCCCCAGAAAUGUAAUGGCCAAGAAGAGGUGGAAAUUGUGUUCCAUCAAAACAAUUAUCUACUGAUCCCAUAUAGACAUAUUUCCUUCCAUCUUAACUUUGUGUUGCUAAAACAAUUCUGUAACCUUAUUUGAAACUUUGAAAACCCUCAUUGGUUCUUUCAUUUUAAAUGCACUGGUCAUUUUGGCUCUGAUCCAUAAUUUCAUAAACAAUUUUAUCUGGUGUGUUCAUAUAGGUUGAGAUGAAGUUUUAUGCACCUUUCACCUACUAUUUUGGGUUUAGCAAGGAGUCCCACAAACCUAGCAAGGCCCAAAUUGGUGUGGCAUCUCUUUUCGUUACUAAGAAAAAGAAGCAGUAAAAAAGAGCAGAAUUCAUAUAAGGCGUGGGUGGAUGAUGGGAAGGAUUAACGUUUUGUUUUUCCAAUACUGAUUACGCUAACACCUAUUGUGAAAUGUGCCUGUCUAUGCAUGCAUCUUCUACAUAUAACUAUGCUAAUGAACACAUGCAGCUAGCGAGAACUAGUUGACUACAGGAAACAAGAGGCAGGAAAUGCAGGUCAAUUGACCUUAGGAUCCCACAGUAUCCCUGGAACUCCUGAGUGGGUCUCUAAGGGUGUGCUAAUGAGAACAGAAGUGAACCGUAUAAAGAGGAAUCUUGAUUUCAUGCACGUUAAGUAGGUUUUAUCAAACAUAAGGUUACAGUGUUAAUAUAACAGAAAUUGCAGCGAGAAAAUGAAGUCUCCAAAAAGUGAAGAAAGAUGUUUUCUCAGUCAGUUAGUUAUUGUAACGUCAGGAAAUUGUUUGUAAAGGCCUCCAUAAUUAUUGACGUUCCAUUGCACAGGGCCCUGUACAAACACAGAGUUUCUUGUCAUGAAGAGCUUACAAUCUAAAUAAUCAAUCAAAAAGAAAUACUACCAUUUCUGGUAGACAUUUUCACUUUAUAAUGGCACAGAGAAGUGAGACACUUUUAAAAAUGUGUAUACAUUAUUUUUUCUAAUAGUUAAACCCACCUUUGAUAUAUUACACUAUCUUUAACUUUAAUGGAAUCUUUCAUACAAUGUAUAUCCUCAAACACUUUAACACUUUGCAGAAAUAAAAAAUGAGAUAACAGACAAUAUCUGAGUUUACGUAAGGAAAACAGGGAAGGGAAGGCAUUGUGUAAUAUGUAUAGUCAUAAAAAGAAUAACAAAAAAUAGUAUAUAAAGAAGGGAGAUAAUCAUAAGCAGAGGUUAGUGGAUCAGGUUUGAAUUGAAUUGGAGCGUUAGUAAGGCAGGAAGACACAGAAGGGCUGUUCCAGAUGGCAGGAGCUGGAACGGGAAAGAUAUUCCCAUACUGACUAGUUUCUGAGGAGGGGGGCAUAAGAUGAGGAGAAGAAAUGGGGAGGAGAGUAGUAAAAGAUGAUACAAAGUAGGUUGAAACAAAUUCAUGGAGAUCAUUUUUUAAAAAGAGGCAGAUAUCAAAUCCUCAGCUGGUAUAAAUUGGUAUCACUUCAUUUAUAUCAAUGGAUAUAUGCCAAUUUGUACCAGCUGCGGCUCUGUGCCAAAGAUUCAUAGAUGAUUCAAAGAUUCACAGGUUGUAUAACCAGAAAGAACCACUGUGAUCAGCUAGUCUGGCUGAAUGGUAAUUCUCAGCUUCUGAAUGAGAAACAAAUGGAGAUGUUUGUGGCUAGCAGUGAUCAGGCAGUGCUUCUUGAUAUUUAUGAGAAGACCAUGAGGCUGCAGCUUUCUGCACACACAGGAGUCUUGAAAAGCUAGGAUUUGGGGAAGUCCUAGGAGAGGGAGUUGUUAUAAUUAAGAUGUGAGAGGAUGACAGCAUGGAUGAGAAUUUUAGCAGAGGUGGAAGGAAAGUUAAGAUGAACAUGUCAACAUACAACUUCAAGUCCAGCAGAGAAAUCAUUACAGGUGUCAAAAGGUAUGUACAUGAGGUGAAGAGCUGUUUUGACUGUUUUUAGAACUUGAUGAUCAAGCCAUUCAUGAAACAAUUCCAUAUGGAAGUGCAGAUGGACAAAUGCAUUUAACAGGUAAGUGUAAUGCUGUUUUUAUUUGUUGUUUUCCUCAGGGUUCUCCUGCAUAAACAUCCAUUCCUAUUACCAUCCGAGGGAAUGGAAAAGAUAAAGGAGGAAAUACCAGUCCCUUCAAGAAAGAAAGUAAAGAUGAGGGAUGGGAAAACAAGGUUAAAGAGACAGGGCGGGGAAUACGUAAGGGGACACUGUUAAAAAUUUUAAUUUAAGUAUUUUAUGUAUUUUUGUUAAUGUGAAAAAAAUUGUUUAAAUUUGUUAUUGAAUGCUUUAUGGCUUGUAUGACUUCCCAAUGUUUGUUUGUUUAUUUCAUUCUUGGUGCUCUGUGUGGUUUUUGUACUACUGGAGUGAUUUUAUGUUCAUAUGACUGCAUGUAAAGAAAUCUUACCAGUAUAUUUGUUAUUAUGUUAAAUGUGAACUGUAUUGUAUGUAGGACUGAGACCACAAGUCUUCUUUUUGGGGGACCAUGUGUAGAGAGCUUUUCAGAUGUUGAUUCUUCAUCUGUUGUAUAAUUAUAAAAAAUGAAGUUGUUUGAAGUGUUCAUGUGUAAAUCAGGUAAAAAAAUAAAUGCUUUCCCGUAA